This is an RNA transcript of Schistocerca nitens (vagrant locust), 997 nucleotides long. It is a transcript of the gene named THAP domain-containing protein 1 B-like, with no coding region annotated. NCBI's taxonomy places the organism in Eukaryota, Metazoa, Arthropoda, Insecta, Orthoptera, Acrididae. The transcript is spliced from 3 exons. The record is from RefSeq and is a predicted model, not a curated record.
AUUCUGUGGGAGCUGUGACGUUAGCGUUCUGCGGUUGAGCAGUGCUAUCUGUGGUAGAAGCGGUGUUUCAUGUUUGGAAGCGUGGUCACUGCAUGGGUUUGUUUUCUUAGCAAUGACUGAAAGCAUGGCUUUGUUUUCGUAACAUUUGUGGCGGAAAUCUUGUUCUCACUGUCAUAUGCGAUUCGGAUUGUUAUUGAGCAUCUGCUCAAAAUGCCACGCAAGUGCUGUAUGCCCUAUUGUAGGGGAAACUACGACAACGGUUUAAAAGUUAGCGUCUUUUCAUUCCCGUCUGAUGAAGCAUUAAGAUUGAAACGGAUCGCUGCAGUCCAUAGGAAAGACUGGGAACCCAGUAAACAGUUCGUUAUAUGUGAACUGCAUUUCACUGCAGACGACAUUGAGAAAAUUACCAGUGCUUACGACCCAAAACUGGCAAACUCUUUACAGUUUACAGCACCUUUGGACCGUCCACGUUUAAAGAAACGUUCGUGAAAAUUUAUCGUAAAGGAUGCUGUACCAUCAAAGUUGCCAGGAUGACCUACGUAUUUAUCUUCAAAACAAGCACCAGCUCAAGAAGAUCCAGAGGGUCGCGAACGUUUGGAGAACCAAGCACUUGAGAAAGUCAUUGAGCAGAGUGUGGAAUCACACAAAAAAUGAUGGAGAAGAGUUCAUUUGCUAGUUUAGAAGAUUUUAAAUCAAAAUUAUCUGAUUGUGAAAAGCACAGUGACUGGGUCACGGGUGUUAAAGGAUGCUCCUUAUCUAAGUGUUUUGUGUCAUGCCGUUAUAAAUAGUGAUUUAGUGUUAAGUCCAUUUGUGAAGGAAGCUGAGCUAAAUUGUGCUGGUAAGAUUAAAUUAUCAAACCAAGUAAGUGAUACUGGUACAGUUAGCAAUAUUUUGAAAGAGUUGUAUGUGAUGUUUCAUAUAAAUGAGGCUCCAUUUGAGGCAAGUUUGUCUUGCAUUGAAGACAUUUUGGAAAACUUGUAAGAAAAAUUACCAGAAA